Non-coding RNA from Bos taurus (domestic cattle), 72 nucleotides. Lineage: Eukaryota; Metazoa; Chordata; Mammalia; Artiodactyla; Bovidae. The record is from Rfam.
UCCCUGGUGGCUCAGACAGGACAGAAUCUGCCUGCAAUGCAGGAGACCUGGGUUCAAAUCCUGGGUUGGGAA